GAUUCGCGUGAGGGAGUGUAGUGGAAAUCCUUUUUUGAGGAACGAAAAAAAGAUUGCAACGAAAAGCCCGACCUGAC
This 77-nucleotide small RNA is filed under the name Flavobacterium xinjiangense. Its description in RNAcentral is "Flavo-1 RNA". It matches the Rfam family "Flavo-1 RNA". The record is from RNAcentral. Lineage: Bacteria; Pseudomonadati; Bacteroidota; Flavobacteriia; Flavobacteriales; Flavobacteriaceae.